Corvus hawaiiensis (hawaiian crow) is the source of this 1055-nucleotide long non-coding RNA. RefSeq lists it as uncharacterized. NCBI's taxonomy places the organism in Eukaryota, Metazoa, Chordata, Aves, Passeriformes, Corvidae. The record is from RefSeq and is a predicted model, not a curated record. The transcript has 3 exons.
AACAAAAUUGCUGGGCCUUUGUUUCUCCCCUGUCUCUUUGCUACUGUCUUGGGGUGAUUUUAUGAUGGUGCCACAUUCCCUAAUCAUCUGCUUUAUGCUUAGAAAGGCUGUUGUAUCUUUAAGAUGAACCUGGGGCGGGGCCGGAGCCUGGGAGCCCCAGGCGCGGGCUCUGUUCAAACUCUCUCUCUCGGGACCGGGGACGCUGCAUUGUUCCUUUUGUUGAAUUGGUUUUUUGCUAGCUUGAAGCAAGAAGUUAUUUUUUCCCUUCCUCUCCCCUAGCCUGGAGGCUGUACCGGGAAUCCUCUUGGCGGCUUUUUGAUUUUUUUUUUUUUUUUUUUUUUUUUUUUUUUUUUUUCUUCUUGAACUGUUUCGGCUUGGCUUGGCUUUCUUUUCGGCCUGUCCGGUGAGCCGGCAGGGGACUGCCCUGAACCCGAGACCUUGGGGGAGCUGAACCAACAUGAGAAAGAACAUUAAAAUCCACCAACUUCACCUGCUGCGAGGAGGAGACCCAACGCCAAAAAUCCAACAGGUUCCCAGCUGCUGUGUGAACUCUUCUCCCCCCUUCCCAGAGACGGAGAAGGGCAGCCACCAUCUUUGCUUCUCGGCCACACGAAGAAAACGGAGUUAUUGAAGUCCUUUCCCUGUAGAGGAAACGUUAAUUCCAGGGCGUUUUCUCCUGAAAUUUGUCUCCAAAACCGAGACUACAAAACCGAGCUACUCAUUGGGGUUUAGAUAGAUUGACUCCUCAUCCAUGAAGCAGUAAGUGAAAGAUAUUUGUGCUGUGGCUCAUUACUUGAGGUCUCUGCAUCUGUCUAGAGCCAGCAAAUUCCCACUGCCCACCAUGAAGCCUGGAGCUGAAUGAGAGACCUUGGUGACCUGGCUGAGGACACAGUGGAGGAGCAGUGUUGUCCAUUCUGCUCUCCCUCUGUGCCUUGGGGUGGACUGGAGCACUGGCAUACAACUUGAGUUGUGUUGAAGCUGCCCCAUUAACUUACAGUAAACCUCUUCAGCACACUCUCUGUGAAUAUUUAGUUGUUAUUAUGAAAAAACCUGCA